ACGCAUGCUGGCGGCGUGCUUAACACCUGCAAGUCGCACGGAAAGGCCCUGCUUUUGUGGGGUGCUCGAGUGGCGAACGGGUGAGUAACACGUGAGUAACCUGCCCUUGACUUUGGGAUAACUUCAGGAAACUGGGGCUAAUACCGGAUAGGAGCUCCUGCUGCAUGGUGGGGGUUGGAAAGUUUCGGCGGUUGGGGAUGGACUCGCGGCUUAUCAGCUUGUUGGUGGGGUAGUGGCUUACCAAGGCUUUGACGGGUAGCCGGCCUGAGAGGGUGACCGGCCACAUUGGGACUGAGAUACGGCCCAGACUCCUACGGGAGGCAGCAGUGGGGAAUAUUGCACAAUGGGCGGAAGCCUGAUGCAGCAACGCCGCGUGCGGGAUGAAGGCCUUCGGGUUGUAAACCGCUUUCGCCUGUGACGAAGCGUGAGUGACGGUAAUGGGUAAAGAAGCACCGGCUAACUACGUG
Molecule: ribosomal RNA, 467 nt
Filed under: uncultured bacterium
Lineage: Bacteria
Description: partial 16S ribosomal RNA
Rfam family: Bacterial small subunit ribosomal RNA
Source: RNAcentral